AAGACUUUUCUUGAGAAGAGGUAAUCUUAAUUGGAUUGCUGGCUGCCUUUCAAUAAGAUUUUUUUUUUGCUACAUUGUAGUAGUAGUGUUCUAGCUUCCAGACCAUACUUGAUUGGAUUUUUAGGAUCAAUGGAGCAGCAAGUCUCUGUGAAACCCAUGUGUUCUUUUAGCAUUAUACAUUGUGCAGGGGGAGGGGCAAAAGAAAAAAAAAAGUCUAUGGAGCUAAUAGUCAUUUUCAUUCAAUUUUCAAGAAUACGAUUGUAUUGUGGCUUGAGUUUCUAUUAAAAUACUGGCAAUCACUUUGUUGUUCUUUUAGGUA
Molecule: unclassified non-coding RNA, 319 nt
Filed under: Hevea brasiliensis (rubber tree)
Lineage: Eukaryota; Viridiplantae; Streptophyta; Magnoliopsida; Malpighiales; Euphorbiaceae
Source: RNAcentral